This 643-nucleotide long non-coding RNA is filed under the name Elaeis guineensis (African oil palm). RNAcentral describes it as "long non-coding RNA (EGUI_LNC019466)". The record is from RNAcentral. Lineage: Eukaryota; Viridiplantae; Streptophyta; Magnoliopsida; Arecales; Arecaceae.
GGUCUGAGGUGUGAUGAUGAAACCCUUCAGUCCUCAAUAGAGCAAAGAUGGGAGGCCGACACCUCUCGGAGCUGACCUUACAAAAGCCAAAUCCCCAAUGAAGCUUUCAUGAUGGGAGGGCAGAGCUGCCCAUGACAAGACUGAUGAAAUCGAGGAGAAACUCCAGAGAAGUCCUCAUCAAGAAGCCCCUCCAAGAUGAGUCGACCAUGACAUCAACGAGACCGACACUAUGGGGGGUAGGCGACUUGGGAUAUUCCUCUGACUCGAGAAACUCCUCUGGUACCUAACGAGUCAUUAUUCAGCUAAUAUCCAUUUAACGGAGCCAUGGAGUCCGACGACUGUUAGCGUGCCAGCUAAGACCAAAGGACUCCUAGAGUAUAAGCUACGAUUUGCAGCGUAGGUCCAGGCAAAAUCUGACGUUAUUCGGCUAAUACUCAUUUAUCGGAGCCAUGGAGUCCGAUGACUAUUAGCAUGCCAGCCAAAGUCGAAGGACCGUUGGGGUAUAAGCUACAGUUCGUGGUACAGACCUAAAUAAAAUUUGACGUUAUUCGGCUAAUAUCCGUUUAAUGGAGUCGUAGAGUCCAACAACUGUUAGCAUACCAACUAUGGCCGAAGGGUUGUUGGAGUGUAAGCUAUAGUUUGU